This 460-nucleotide ribosomal RNA is filed under the name uncultured bacterium. RNAcentral's name for it is "partial 16S ribosomal RNA". It matches the Rfam family "Bacterial small subunit ribosomal RNA", at positions 338 to 795 of the family's 1533-position model. The record is from RNAcentral.
CCUACGGGGGGCAGCAGUGAGGAAUAUUGGUCAAUGGACGAGAGUCUGAACCAGCCAAGUAGCGUGAAGGAUGACUGCCCUAUGGGUUGUAAACUUCUUUUAUAUGGGAAUAAAAUGUUCCACGUGUGGGAUUUUGUAUGUACCAUAUGAAUAAGGAUCGGCUAACUCCGUGCCAGCAGCCGCGGUAAUACGGAGGAUCCGAGCGUUAUCCGGAUUUAUUGGGUUUAAAGGGAGCGUAGGUGGAUUGUUAAGUCAGUUGUGAAAGUUUGCGGCUCAACCGUAAAAUUGCAGUUGAAACUGGCAGUCUAGAGUACAGUAGAGGUGGGCGGAAUUCGUGGUGUAGCGGUGAAAUGCUUAGAUAUGACGAAGAACUCCGAUGGCGAAGGCAGCUCACUGGACUGCAACUGACACUGAGGCUCGAAAGUGUGGGUAUCAAACAGGAUUAGAUACCCGAGUAGUC